CUUCAAUGAAGAUGCGAUGACGAGUCUGACAGGAGGUGUACUCUGUUCAGGUGUUCUACUCUGGUUCUGCGUUCUGCAGGCCAGAAUUCAGACUCCUGACUUAAAGUCAUUUCCUUAAGAAGAUCUAGAGGCAUUUGUCUGAGAAGG
Monodelphis domestica (gray short-tailed opossum) is the source of this 147-nucleotide small nucleolar RNA. The record is from Ensembl. NCBI's taxonomy places the organism in Eukaryota, Metazoa, Chordata, Mammalia, Didelphimorphia, Didelphidae.